ACCUUAACCCCCAAAAUUCCAUUAAUUUUCAUGAACCCCUAAUUUAUAAUGAAUGACUCCAUAUUUAUAUGGAAGACACCAUGCUAGGAUUAGUAACAAGAAUUUAUAAUUCUCCAAAAUGCAAAUAUAAACCAACAUGGAUGGACCAUUGGUAGUUACCGAACCUAAAUUUUAUGCAAUAACACCCACAAGAAAACUCUGCAGUACUUACUCGUUAACCUAACACCAGCGCAUUACAGGAAAGAUUUAAAAAAAGAGAAGGAAUUCGGCAAAUGACGGCCCCGCCUGUUUACCAAAAACAUCGCCUCUUGACUUAUAAUAAGAGGUCCAGCCUGCCCAGUGAAUUUUAAACGGCCGCGGUAUUCUAACCGCGCGAAGGUAGCAUAAUCACUUGUUCUUUAAAUGGGGACUCGUAUCAACGGCAUCACGAGGGUUUUACUGUCUCCUCUUUUUGAUCAGUGAAAUUGAUCUUCCCGUGAAGAAGCGGGAAUAAAUUUAUAAGACGAGAAGACCCCAUGGAGCUUUAAACCAAAUAACAACUUAACCACUUAUCCCAUAAUAAAUUUAAACCCUGUUAUAAGGUUUUUGGUUGGGGUGACCGCGGAGUAAAGCACAUCCUCCACGACGGAAAGAACAAAAUCUUUAUUUAAGAACCACACUUCUAGAAAUUAGUAUACUAACGUUUACUGACCCGACAAUCGAUCAACGGACCAAGUUACCCUGGGGAUAACAGCGCAAUCUACUUCAAGAGCCCAUAUCGACAAGUAGGCUUACGACCUCGAUGUUGGAUCAGGGUAUCCCGGUGGUGCAGCCGCUACCGAAGGUUCGUUUGUUCAACGAUUAAAACCCUACGUGAUC
RNAcentral lists this ribosomal RNA (858 nucleotides) under Polypedates leucomystax (Java whipping frog). RNAcentral's name for it is "partial 16S ribosomal RNA". It matches the Rfam family "Bacterial large subunit ribosomal RNA", at positions 1218 to 2605 of the family's 2925-position model. Lineage: Eukaryota; Metazoa; Chordata; Amphibia; Anura; Rhacophoridae. The record is from RNAcentral.